GUUCACUGCCGUACAGGUAGCUUAGAAA
Methylomicrobium album BG8 is the source of this 28-nucleotide non-coding RNA. The record is from Rfam. NCBI's taxonomy places the organism in Bacteria, Pseudomonadati, Pseudomonadota, Gammaproteobacteria, Methylococcales, Methylococcaceae.